CCUACGGGAGGCAGCAGUGAGGAAUAUUGGUCAAUGGUCGGGAGACUGAACCAGCCAAGCCGCGUGAGGGAUGAAGGUACAGAGUAUCGUAAACCUCUUUUGUCAGGGAACAAAGGCGUGGACGUGUCCCCGGAUGAGUGUACCUGAAGAAAAAGCAUCGGCUAACUCCGUGCCAGCAGCCGCGGUAAUACGGAGGAUGCGAGCGUUAUCCGGAUUUAUUGGGUUUAAAGGGUGCGAAGGGGGUCUGUUAAGUCAGCGGUAAAAGCCCGGGGCUCAACCCCGGCCCGCCGUUGAAACUGGCAGUCUCGAGUUGGAGAGAAGUAUGCGGAAUGCGCGGUGUAGCGGUGAAAUGCAUAGAUAUCGCGCAGAACUCCGAUUGCGAAGGCAGCAUGCCGGCUCCACACUGACGCUGAGGCACGAAAGCGUGGGUAUCGAACAGGAUUAGAUACCCUUGUAGUC
RNAcentral lists this ribosomal RNA (459 nucleotides) under uncultured bacterium. Its description in RNAcentral is "partial 16S ribosomal RNA". It matches the Rfam family "Bacterial small subunit ribosomal RNA", at positions 338 to 795 of the family's 1533-position model. The record is from RNAcentral.